This 429-nucleotide ribosomal RNA is filed under the name Chloroflexota bacterium. RNAcentral's name for it is "Chloroflexi bacterium partial 16S ribosomal RNA". It matches the Rfam family "Bacterial small subunit ribosomal RNA", at positions 355 to 776 of the family's 1533-position model. Lineage: Bacteria; Bacillati; Chloroflexota. The record is from RNAcentral.
UGGGGAAUAUUGCACAAUGGGCGCAAGCCUGAUGCAGCCAUGCCGCGUGUGUGAAGAAGGCCUUCGGGUUGUAAAGUACUUUCAGCGGGGAGGAAGGGAGUAAAGUUAAUACCUUUGCUCAUUGACGUUACCCGCAGAAGAAGCACCGGCUAACUCCGUGCCAGCAGCCGCGGUAAUACGGAGGGUGCAAGCGUUAAUCGGAAUUACUGGGCGUAAAGCGCACGCAGGCGGUUGAUUGAGUCAGAUGUGAAAUCCCCGGGCUUAACCCGGGAAUUGCAUCUGCUACUGGUCAGCGAGAGUCUUGUAGAGGGGGGUAGAAUUCCAUGUGUAGCGGUGAAAUGCGUAGAGAUGUGGAGGAAUACCGGUGGCGAAGGCGGCCCCCUGGACAAAGACUGACGCUCAGGUGCGAAAGCGUGGGGAGCAAACAGG